Molecule: long non-coding RNA, 714 nt
Organism: Ctenopharyngodon idella (grass carp)
Lineage: Eukaryota; Metazoa; Chordata; Actinopteri; Cypriniformes; Xenocyprididae
Exons: 3
Source: RefSeq, a predicted model, not a curated record
GUUUUCAUGGUGUUGAAGAAGAGGGCUGGUCGAGUGUCAGAAUAAAAACCAUCUUCUUCCUCUUCCUCAUCACUCCUGCUUCACUGCAGACUCACACAGCAUCUCUGAACCUCCUGACUUGAGCAACAGAUAAAAUGGUUUUCGUUGUACCACUGAGGAUCCUCCUUCUGAUCUGCCUGAUUCAUUUUUGUACUGCAGUAGAUGACCCAAAGAGUGUGAACCCAAAAACCCUCAUGAAUAUUGUAAACAACUUUGUAACUCAGUUGGGUGGUGAUCAAUUAUCUGUUGUCACGGGAAGAAUGACAAAGCCUGUAGCUUUAGAAAACAAAAGGUUUUAAUUCCACAAGCAGGCAGAUAUGCAACAGAGUGCUAAGGCACAAACAAUAACCAACCAAGAACACAGAACAGGCAGGAACUUAAAUACACAGAUAAUGACUACUAAACAGGAACAGCUGACAAGACUUAACUAAUUAGAAACCAUAGUGACUAACGAGGACUAAUGCAGACAAGACAGAACUGAACUAAACUGAACAUACAUGUGACAGCUGUAGCCUUCAGAGUUAAUAAGGAGAAUUGUCUUGAUCCUACAUUUCAAGGUGUAACCUUAACUAAUGAAGCGAUAAAUAAAAUUAACAACGACCAGGUUUAUGAGAGCAAUAACCUCAUUGCUGCAAAGCCUAUACAAGAGCCUCAUCCAGAACAUUCAGAGUUUCG